CUUACAGAUUUCUUUGGCAUUCUGUCCACCUCCUUUGUAUAUAAAUGUAAGUAUAUCGGUUGUGUGUGAAAGAAGGAGGUGGUCAUACUGCCAGUAGACAUCUGUUAG
This is a non-coding RNA of Brassica napus (rape), 108 nucleotides long. Lineage: Eukaryota; Viridiplantae; Streptophyta; Magnoliopsida; Brassicales; Brassicaceae. The record is from Rfam.